This 288-nucleotide long non-coding RNA is filed under the name Setaria viridis. RNAcentral describes it as "long non-coding RNA (SVIR_LNC003109)". The record is from RNAcentral. Lineage: Eukaryota; Viridiplantae; Streptophyta; Magnoliopsida; Poales; Poaceae.
AUCCCACUAAUAGAACAUGAUAAGAUCAAAUUUUAUACUUUCAAGCAAGCCAUUACUUUCAUUGGCACUUGUUUUAUUGCCCCUUCAGCUUCUCCUAAUAUUUGUCCAGUUUUUUUUAUCUUAUAAACACCUAAUUUUAAUUUAGUAAGUGCAACUACGAGUUAUUCAAAUUUGAACAAUCUUACGAGAAUAAUAGAGCACAUUGUCAUAUGCACCUAGCUAAUUAAGAUAUUGCCUCCAAAUUAAAAGAUCAUCAAUCUUUCUGGAUUCAUUACAUCAAUAUUCUCC